AAAAAGGUUCUUUUCAGAACCACUAAAACUUUUCAAAAAGAAGUUU
RNAcentral lists this non-coding RNA (46 nucleotides) under Mytilus galloprovincialis (Mediterranean mussel). It matches the Rfam family "Histone 3' UTR stem-loop". From Rfam's summary of the family: The mRNAs of metazoan histone genes lack a poly-A tail. 3' end processing occurs at a site between a highly conserved stem-loop (modelled by this family) and a purine rich region around 20 nts downstream (the histone downstream element, or HDE). The stem-loop is bound by a 31 kDa stem-loop binding protein (SLBP - also termed the histone hairpin binding protein, or HBP). Lineage: Eukaryota; Metazoa; Mollusca; Bivalvia; Mytilida; Mytilidae. The record is from RNAcentral.